UCCGAUAUGGUGUAGUGGCUAACAUUCUCGCCUCUCGCGCGAUAGCCCGGGGCUCAAUUCCCUGUGUCAGAA
RNAcentral lists this transfer RNA (72 nucleotides) under Sphaerobolus stellatus SS14. Its description in RNAcentral is "tRNA-Glu (CTC) (tRNA-Glu-CTC-10-1)". It matches the Rfam family "tRNA". From Rfam's summary of the family: Transfer RNA (tRNA) molecules are approximately 80 nucleotides in length. Their secondary structure includes four short double-helical elements and three loops (D, anti-codon, and T loops). Further hydrogen bonds mediate the characteristic L-shaped molecular structure. tRNAs have two regions of fundamental functional importance: the anti-codon, which is responsible for specific mRNA codon recognition, and the 3' end, to which the tRNAs corresponding amino acid is attached (by aminoacyl-tRNA synthetases). tRNAs cope with the degeneracy of the genetic code in two manners: having more than one tRNA (with a specific anti-codon) for a particular amino acid; and 'wobble' base-pairing, i.e. permitting non-standard base-pairing at the 3rd anti-codon position. Lineage: Eukaryota; Fungi; Basidiomycota; Agaricomycetes; Geastrales; Sphaerobolaceae. The record is from RNAcentral.